CCUUGGGACCCUGCAUUGUCCUCCACGAGGCUGGGUGUCCUCUGGUUCUCCCAAAGGCCUCAAAGACAGAUUCCUGAUUCUGCUAGAACUGAGGAAGUGGAAAAUGCUAUUAUGAAGGCUGUUUCUAAUGAGGCUCACAGCUAUACAGUAAUUCUAAACCUGUUUAGAAGCAUCCACUUUUGAAAGCUGAAAUUCUACACUGAUCACAAAUGGCGGAUCUGGCUGGGAAUAGUCCAAGAGAGGAAAAGUAUAGUAACACUUUGGAGCUGGACAAGUUCAGGAUGUUCUCAGUCACCUCAGACAAGGGAUUAAUUAUGCUUUAGUACCAGUUCUGCCAUCCACUGUGCAGGAAUGGUGAAGUUUGCUCAGCAGCAGUACCUAUGAGAAUGGUCAGCACAGGUGACAGGUGAUAGGCACA
This 418-nucleotide long non-coding RNA is filed under the name Cyanistes caeruleus (blue tit). Its description in RNAcentral is "lncRNA (ENSCCEG00000011952.1)". Lineage: Eukaryota; Metazoa; Chordata; Aves; Passeriformes; Paridae. The record is from RNAcentral.